This 168-nucleotide ribosomal RNA is filed under the name Matsubaraea fusiforme. RNAcentral describes it as "partial 12S rRNA". Lineage: Eukaryota; Metazoa; Chordata; Actinopteri; Pempheriformes; Percophidae. The record is from RNAcentral.
CACCGCGGUUAUACGGGAGACCCAAGUUGACAGCCGUCGGCGUAAAGCGUGGUUAGGGGUAUAGCAAAGUAAAGUCGAACAGCUUCAAGACUGUUAUACGUGUUUGAAAUUCGGAAGCCCAAUUACGAAAGUAACUUUAUUUAUUCUGAUUCCACGAAAGCUAGGGCA